UACGUAGGUGGCGAACGUUGUCCGGAUUCACUGGGCGUAAAGGGUGCGCAGGCGGCCGGGUGUGUCAGAUGUGAAAUCCCGAGGCUUAACCUCGGAACUGCGUCUGAAACUACUCGGCUAGAGUAUUGGAGAGGGUAACGGAAUUCACGGUGUAGCAGUGAAAUGCGUAGAUAUCGUGAGGAACACCAGAGGCGAAGGCGGUUACCUGGACAAUUACUGACGCUCAGGCACGAAAGCAUGGGGAGCAAAAGGGAUUAGAUACCCCUGUAGU
RNAcentral lists this ribosomal RNA (271 nucleotides) under uncultured bacterium. Its description in RNAcentral is "partial 16S ribosomal RNA". It matches the Rfam family "Bacterial small subunit ribosomal RNA", at positions 524 to 794 of the family's 1533-position model. The record is from RNAcentral.